UAACGCGUGAGCAACCUGCCCUUCGGAGGGGGAUAGUGUCUGGAAACGGACAGUAAUACCGCAUAACGUAUUUUUACCGCAUGAUAGAAAUACCAAAACUGAGGUGCCGAAGGAUGGGCUCGCGUUGGAUUAGAUAGUUGGUGGGGUAACGGCCUACCAAGUCAACGAUCCAUAGCCGGACUGAGAGGUUGAACGGCCACAUUGGGACUGAGACACGGCCCAGACUCCUACGGGAGGCAGCAGUGGGGAAUAUUGCACAAUGGGGGAAACCCUGAUGCAGCAACGCCGCGUGAAGGAAGACGGUUUUCGGAUUGUAAACUUCUGUUCUUAGUGAAGAAAAAUGACGGUAGCUAAGGAGCAAGCCACGGCUAACUACGUGCCAGCAGCCGCGGUAAUACGUAGGUGGCAAGCGUUGUCCGGAAUUACUGGGUGUAAAGGGAGCGCAGGCGGGAAGCCAAGUCAGCUGUGAAAACUACGGGCUUAACUUGUAGACUGCAGUUGAAACUGGUUUUCUUGAGUGAAGUAGAGGUUGGCGGAAUUCCGAGUGUAGCGGUGAAAUGCGUAGAUAUUCGGAGGAACACCGGUGGCGAAGGCGGCCAACUGGGCUUUAACUGACGCUGAGGCUCGAAAGUGUGGGGAGCAAACAGGAUUAGAUACCCUGGUAGU
This 666-nucleotide ribosomal RNA is filed under the name uncultured bacterium. RNAcentral describes it as "bacterial SSU rRNA". It matches the Rfam family "Bacterial small subunit ribosomal RNA", at positions 111 to 794 of the family's 1533-position model. The record is from RNAcentral.